This is a non-coding RNA of Salmo salar (Atlantic salmon), 53 nucleotides long. NCBI's taxonomy places the organism in Eukaryota, Metazoa, Chordata, Actinopteri, Salmoniformes, Salmonidae. The record is from Rfam.
UGCACGCAUGACUGUAAGUGCUUUGGAUAAAAGCGUCUGCUAAAUAGCAUAUA